Long non-coding RNA from Physella acuta, 391 nucleotides. RefSeq lists it as uncharacterized. NCBI's taxonomy places the organism in Eukaryota, Metazoa, Mollusca, Gastropoda, Physidae. The record is from RefSeq and is a predicted model, not a curated record.
CAGCAUUCAAGUUAUUUGUCAAUAAUACGAUCAGACUAGUUGUAGAAUUAUUUGAAUUAUUUUUUUAACUUCAGUGUAACAGAUAAUUUUUUAGAACACACAGGUAUGGCUGCCGCCUACCCCAGAAGAAACAAGAUGCUGCCUGAACACGAGGCCAAGUUGCGGGAAUGUUACGAUAAAAUCGAAGAAGAACUGGAGCCUUUGGAUGUUUUUCACUUCAUGUUUGCAAGGCAGAUUUUCGACCUUGAGGAUAAAGAGAAGAUUGAGGCAGGCGAGACUAGGCAUGAGAGAGUACUCACUUUCAUGAAAAUGCUACCCUGUCGUGGACCGGAUGCGUUCCAGUUUUUUCUGGAAGCUCUCGGUCAGAAUAACUAUGAAGAUCUGGUCGACG